This 497-nucleotide ribosomal RNA is filed under the name uncultured bacterium. RNAcentral's name for it is "partial 16S ribosomal RNA". It matches the Rfam family "Bacterial small subunit ribosomal RNA", at positions 28 to 507 of the family's 1533-position model. The record is from RNAcentral.
GAUGAACGCUGGCGGCGUGCCUAAUACAUGCAAGUCGAGCGAACAGAUGAGGAUCUUGCUCCUCUGACGUUAGCGGCGGGCGGGUGAGUAACAGGAGGAUAACCUACCUAUAAGACUGGGAUAACUUCGGGAAACCGGAUCUAAUACCGGAUAAGAUAUUGAACCUGAGGGUUCAUUAGUGAAAACGGGUUUUGCUGACACUUAUACGUGGAUCCGCGCCGCAUUAGCUAGUUGGUAAGGUAACGGCCUACCAAGGCAACGAUGCGUAGCCGAUCUGAGAGGAUGAUCGGCCACACUGGAACUGAGACACGGUCCAGACUCCUACGGGAGGCAGCAGUAGGGAAUCUUCCGCAAUGGGCGAAAGCCUGACGGAGCAACGCCGCGUGAGUGAAGAAGGUCUUCGGAUCGUAAAACUCUGUUAUUAGGGAAGAACAAAUGUAUAAGUAACUAUGCACGUCUUGACGGUACCUAAUCAGAAAGCCACGGCUAACUACGUG